UACGGAGGGAGCUAGCGUUGUUCGGAAUUACUGGGCGUAAAGCGCGCGUAGGCGGCUUUGUAAGUUAGAGGUGAAAGCCCGGAGCUCAACUCCGGAACUGCCUUUAAAACUGCAUCGCUUGAAUCCAGGAGAGGUGAGUGGAAUUCCGAGUGUAGAGGUGAAAUUCGUAGAUAUUCGGAAGAACACCAGUGGCGAAGGCGGCUCACUGGACUGGUAUUGACGCUGAGGUGCGAAAGCGUGGGGAGCGAACCGG
Molecule: ribosomal RNA, 253 nt
Filed under: uncultured bacterium
Lineage: Bacteria
Description: partial 16S ribosomal RNA
Rfam family: Bacterial small subunit ribosomal RNA
Source: RNAcentral